Molecule: long non-coding RNA, 1862 nt
Organism: Hirundo rustica (Barn swallow)
Lineage: Eukaryota; Metazoa; Chordata; Aves; Passeriformes; Hirundinidae
Exons: 6
Source: RefSeq, a predicted model, not a curated record
CCUGGAGGGCAGGGAAACAGGUACACAGGAUCUUGCUGCUCCAGUCUCUGUUUGCUAAGAUCAAAGUAUCUUUUAAAUUAUGUAAAUCCACACAAUCUACAGAUCUGCAAUGAAGGAAAAAAAAGAGACGAGUGCAUAGCCACAGGUAUCGUCCCAACACAGUGAGCACCUUUGAUUGCACGAUGAAGAGUGUCAUUCUCUCCGGAAAUAAUUAACAAAUCUGAGGGGCUAUUUACUCAUGCAAGUGACAAAGUGAAUAGGCAACAUCUGGUUAAGAGAAGUCUGUUUCUGAAGCUUGAGAAUCAACCCUUUCCUAGCAACUACGUGUGCAGCAAGUUGAUGAUGCAUUUCCCAAGCAAUGGUUUCAUUCUGAAUGAGUCUGAUUUAGAGGCAGAGAACAUCUGAGUAGAUGUUUGCUGACUGUCUCUCAUCUGAUGGAGAAGGGAGCAAAAGGGAACGUUACAAAUAAGAAUGAAUAUGACCUCCAGGAAUCUCAAGCAGCCUGAUGGCACGGUCCUGGGUGCUGCCAGAGUUCUCCCUGCACAGUCCGUGAGAAGGGACACAGUGGAAUGUGUUGGUGACCUGGCAUGUGAUGGAUGUGCCUGUGCCCAACAGACACAGGGCAGCGAGUCAAUGAAACAAUAUUGAGUGAAAAGCAGCAGCCACUAAGAACUCGUAAGACUUUGGAUGCAUCUCUCUGGUUUGACACUGUCCUGUUGGGUGACCUGAGGCCAACUACCUCCCUCCUGGUGUUUCAAUGCCUCCAGCUAUGAAAAUGGGUCAACAAUAGCUUCCAGCUGUGAAAAGAGCUUUGAAUUGAAAAGAUAAAGAAUGUUACUGAAGAGACAGGGACUAGAAAAAAGGCUUUUCAACCCGAGCUGAUUAUGUAAAGGUAAAACUCUUAAAAGUUAAUAAAGGUAAAAACAUACUUCCCCCCUCCCCCCCCCCACUGGUAGAAUAUCCAGGGACACCGAUGGUAGGAAUUGCCAGCUAAUUUCUGUCCUGCUUACACUGGUUUUGCUAAGCUGGAACAACAUUACAAUGGUUUCAUCGUGGUUGUGGCUAUUUCAGAAAAGGAGAUUCCAUAUCUUAAGUCUACCCUUCUUAAGAGCCCCAGUGAGCAUUCCUCUCAGCUGUCACAAGGAAUGGCUAUCACCCUAAUUAACUAUCAGUCCAUUCACACUAAUAGAAAGUAAGGUAGCAGGUUUUCCCUUGCUAAAAAAAUCCAGGCCUGUUGGCUGUGAAUCAAAAUUUGUUCUUCUGCUAUUUGACAAGUGAACUGAGGUGUGUUAACCUGUGCUUUGCAAUGAGGAGGUUCUGGGCAGUAACAUGGAACCAGCAGGGCCAUGUUCUCCUGAAACCCAGGGAACAACAUCGUGCCCCUCUGUCAGUACCUCAUACACCUCAGUUGAGAGAAGCUGUUCUGAGUGGUUGCACAUACAUAUUCAAUCUGCUACCGUUAUCACUUUUCCUGUGAAGAGUAUUUAAAUGACAAUGACCAACACACCGGGGACUAGUAAAGCAGACCUAACAAGUAACAGUGACAAAUUAUUUGGUAAAAUAAAACUAAAUAAUUAGAAUCUACUGUUCUCUCCAUAGGUAGCUGUAUAUUUUACAGCACUGGGCUUCAUAUCUGUAUCAUAAAGUAAGGAACUGAAAUCCAAAUUGUUUGUACCACACGGAUUUAAUAUUCAGUUUCAACAGCACAUUGCAAUGUUUCUGCAUUAAUGAACACUUCUACUAAAGUCGGGCAGGAUGAUGCAAACAGCAGCAAUACAGAUAAUAAUUAAUGAAAUAAAUGAAAAUCAACCCUGAAGAAUAAAGUAAGAGAAAGGCAAUCUGUGGGUAUCUUGUAGUCUACU